GACGAACGCUGGCGGCGUGCUUAACACAUGCAAGUCGAACGGAAAGGCCCUGCUUUUGUGGGGUGCUCGAGUGGCGAACGGGUGAGUAACACGUGAGUAACCUGCCCUUGACUUUGGGAUAACUUCAGGAAACUGGGGCUAAUACCGGAUAGGAGCUCCUGCUGCAUGGUGGGGGUUGGAAAGUUUCGGCGGUUGGGGAUGGACUCGCGGCUUAUCAGCUUGUUGGUGGGGUAGUGGCUUACCAAGGCUUUGACGGGUAGCCGGCCUGAGAGGGUGACCGGCCAACUUGGGAAUGGGGUUCCGCCCAGGCUCCUACGGGGGGGAAGAGGGGGGGAUAUUGGAACAUGGGCGGAAGCCUGAUGCCGCAACGGCGGGGGGGGGAUGAAGGCCCUCGGGGUGGAAACCGCUUUCGCCUGUGACGAAGCGUGAGUGACGGUAAUGGGUAAAGAAGCACCGGCUAACUACGUG
RNAcentral lists this ribosomal RNA (468 nucleotides) under uncultured bacterium. Its description in RNAcentral is "partial 16S ribosomal RNA". It matches the Rfam family "Bacterial small subunit ribosomal RNA", at positions 28 to 507 of the family's 1533-position model. The record is from RNAcentral.